UACGUAGGUGGCAAGCGUUGUCCGGAUUUACUGGGCGUAAAGGGAGUGUAGGCGGAUACUUAAGUCAGAUGUGAAAUACCCGGGCUCAACUUGGGUGCUGCAUUUGAAACUGGGUAUCUAGAGUGCAGGAGAGGAAAGUGGAAUUCCUAGUGUAGCGGUGAAAUGCGUAGAGAUUAGGAAGAACACCAGUGGCGAAGGCGACUUUCUGGACUGUAACUGACGCUGAGGCUCGAAAGCGUGGGGAGCAAAC
Molecule: ribosomal RNA, 250 nt
Filed under: uncultured bacterium
Lineage: Bacteria
Description: partial 16S ribosomal RNA
Rfam family: Bacterial small subunit ribosomal RNA
Source: RNAcentral